GUCAUUGGGAAGAGGGUAUUCUAUGUGGAGAGUUUAAUCACACAUAUCCCCCCAAUUAUUACUGAAUCAGGAUGCCUAAAACCUUUGCUAUUACCUAUCCACAGCCAAGCUAAACACUAAGCUUUUGAAUUUUUGAUCUUUUGAUUUUAAUAGUUAAUGUGAAUAGACCCCAGUAAUUUUAUAUGUUUUAUAUAAUAAGAUCUUUUAGAGUCUUGUGGGUUUUUUGUUUGUUUGUUUUUUAAGAGAAAGGUUUCUGUAUUGUACUAGCAUUCUGCUUUAAAUAUGAGAUUUUGUUAUCAUGUUUUCAGAGAGAAUAGAUAUGUCUACCUAAAUAUGCUUUAUUUUGAAAUGUUAGGAAAAUGUAAUGAGUCCCAGACAGAGUAAAUUUUGUAAAUCAGAAUUUAUCAUUCUAGAAGCACAUGGGAAGUAUUGGAAUUCAUUUCGCUGUAAGUAUAACUGCUGAAGUGAGUCUGAUGUUUUCGAAGGCCAUUAAGGCCUUUUAAUCAUACAUUUUGGACUUAUGAGAAAAUCUUGGGGGUUAUUCUAAAAUCCUAACAGAUGCCUUCUGUUAAAAUUCCUGCAAAAUGUAUCUCUUCUUGUACUUUGAUUUGACUUCCAUAUUUAUUUAAUAAAAUAAAGCAAACAAGUAUCUUUUAUUAUUAGGGAAAAAAACAGAAAUAGAAGGGAUCUGCAGGAUCAUUUAGAUCUACUUGUUCAAUUUAUGGUUGAAAAAACUGAGAUUCACUUUCCUGAGUCAGAAAAUGACUUUCUCAACAACAUGAGGUUAAUGGUGGCCAGAAAUAGCAAUCAGAAACCUACUGUGUUAGCUUGACUAACACACCAAGCUUCUUUGGCUCCAAAUACUUUAGAUAUUGUGCCUUAAAUAUCAUUUCAAUAGUAAAAUUUUCCUCUUAGAUGUAGAUAUGCCAAAGAAUACGCCACAGUCUACUUUUAAGGAAAUUAAUUAUAUAAAAGAAAGGAUCGUAUGGUUAUUUAUGAAUAUAGUAUUUUAAAACAAAUAAAUUCAGCAUUAUUAUUAGCAAUAGAGUACAAUCACUUUGCCUCCCUAGGAGUAUUUAGUUUAGUUGUAGGACUGCAUUGUAGACAUAUUUUAAAUUGUUGAUUUUGUUCAAAAUUAGCAUCUGCUGCUGAAGAAUCACCAUGACUCCUCACUGAAAGGUUAAAGUGAAUUGUUGAGCAUGAUGAAGUAAGAGAAAUCAUGCCUACAUAAAUUUCUUCACAUUAUAUAUUUCUUCUCUAUAUCUUUAGGAAGUUCAAUAACCUGAGACAAAGCGGAUGCUGAAUGUGUCUCUCCAAAGGGUUGGAACUUUAAAACAUUUUGUCCUUUUCCUUUCAUUGGAUUUCCUUUUCUUACCCUGAUACUUAUUUUGUGUCUUAAACUUCUAUUAUGGGGUCAAUAUAUAUGCCACUGAAAAAAGGUCUUAUAGUUUCUCUUUUAGUGAACCGGAAUAUUUUUCCAUACAUGUUGAUAGUGAUACAGUAUAGACAUUGGUUUAGCAUGAUAAAGCUCUGAAAGUUGCCUUUGCUUUCCUAAUGAAGAUCAUGGCAACCUUUUUACCAUACUUGUUGUUUUCAGCAUAGUAUGAAACCCACAGGGGAAAAAAAAACCCAACCAAGUAAAUACAAAUAAAUAAAUAAUAUAAUUCCAUAGUACUGAGUUAGUAUGAUAACCCUUAUGCAGAAAAAUAGCUAUAGAUAUUUUCCCCUGCGCAAUCUGUCAAAACAUUUUGGGCUUCUAUGUGGUCUGUGAGUGAAAUUCAAUUUUCAUUACAAAAUCUGUUUAUACAAAAGCAUAUGCUCCAUUACUUUCCAGGAAAUAUGAAGUCAUAGCCCACUGUGAAUGCAUAUAAAGCAUAGCAAGUACAUACCAAUGAAAUCAAGAUUAAGAGGCGUCAUUAAUUAUUUUCAAUGUGCACCUGAAAUGAGAAAAGCACAAUAAUGAACUUGAGUUGUUGAUGUCAACCCAUUUCUCAAUAUUUAUUAUGAGUUAUGCCCAUCUUUCCAGUGGUGACAACUUCCCCAUGAGAAAAUGCCACACACAAAGGAUCUCCUUCAUCCCUCUCCAGAAGAGGAGAAGUGGAAACACCAGAAGUGUCUGGUGCAGAGCCCCAAUUCCUACUUCAUGGAUGUAAAAUGCCCAGAAUUCUGUAAAGUCACCAAGGUCUUCACCAUGUACAAACAGUAGUUUUUUGUGUUAGUUGCUCAACUGUCCUUUGCCAGCCUACAGGAAGAAAAGCAAGGCUUACAGAAGGACAUUCCUUCAGAAGAAAGCAGCACUAAAAGUACUCUGAAUUAAGAUGAAUGGGAAACCAUCCCAAUAAACACAUUUUGGAU
Non-coding RNA from Microcebus murinus (gray mouse lemur), 2355 nucleotides. The record is from RefSeq and is a predicted model, not a curated record. Lineage: Eukaryota; Metazoa; Chordata; Mammalia; Primates; Cheirogaleidae.